Mycena epipterygia is the source of this 95-nucleotide non-coding RNA. NCBI's taxonomy places the organism in Eukaryota, Fungi, Basidiomycota, Agaricomycetes, Agaricales, Mycenaceae. The record is from the annotation of a GenBank genome assembly.
GGCCGUCUAGCUCAGUUGGUUAGAGCGUCGUGCUAAUACGCUGAUUAUCAUCUGCUGCUACGCGAAGGUCUUGGGUUCGACCCCCACGAUGGCCA